GAACUGUACUGUUUUGAUUGUUAUACUUCAAAUGAUGACCAUAAAAAAUAUUACUACAACUCGUAGAAAAAGCAUAACAUCUAGAUAUCUUAAUGAAAAAUACAAUCAAGUAUAAUUAUGCUCGAACCGAAACUAUAAACAGACGUAGAAACACACACAUAAUACAAAAUCGUUGCGAAUACGAUAAACUUGUACCUUUACUUUAAUGAUAAAAUUCGAAAAUCUCGAAAAUAAAUCAACUUGAAGCUUUUUAGUGACAGCUUAUCGCGAAUAUAAGUAUCCGUGAACAUUAGUUUGAGUACGGUAUAUAAUUUGAAAAAAAAAUUGUAAUAAGACGUUUUUUUCCGUUGACGACCUGGAUGCGAGCCAUUUGAGUAAUUUUUGGGAUAGGGGUUCCCCCCUCACAACAAAAUGCGUUUUGUAGUAAUUUUAGUACACGUAGCUACAAUGGAAUAUGAUCAUUCAUUCAGAAAUAUUCUUCGUAAAAAAUGACUGUGGCAGAGUCAUAUUUGAUUAAUAUAUUAAAUAUGAUACUUUUGAUUAUUAAUUUUAUUGCAAUGUUUGAUAGUUUAGUUACUCAUUGUUUCUAUUUCUAGUACUAUUGUUCUAGUAUCAUUCUCUUUUCCCUUUGGUGGACCUCUUUUCUUUCAUAUCAUUUUGGAGGGAAAAUUCUAACCUUUUGAUUGGUCAAUCUUUAGGCCUUAUGCCUUACUAUAGGUUUUCUUUGUUUCUGGAGAUUAAUACUGCAGACAUAUUGAAAUGCAGUGGUGAUAAAUAACCUGCUUGAUAAAUUGAUUUUUUAUAUAUAUUAUACUACAUAUUCUUGGAUUUUCAAUAUUCUUAUAUUCAGGUUUGUUGAUGAACCUUAUUUCUAAUUAACAAAUUAAUAGUAUGUCAUUUUAAUACUUUAUGAAAGGAUUGAAUGUAUGUAUUUGAAUGGAGGAAUAGUUGGAGUAUGAAAGAGUAAAAGAUUAAAUCAUUAAAUUAUAAGAUAAUAACACAGAGUCAUAUUGAACAUUUUAGUAUAAAACAUUCUUGUACUUUAAAUAUUAUGAAGUUAGAUUAAAAGUAAUGGAUAGAUAAAUUUGGUAUUUGAAUAAUACAGAACUCUGAAACUACAUAUUUUAAAUGUAGUUGUGUAUUUUAUUUAAUUGGUGAAAUAGUCCUGUCACUGGACUUAUGAAUGUUAUAUUUUUAUUUAUUCAGGAUAUGGAUAAUUACCGUUUCAUAUGACAUGUAUGAGUAGUGCUCAGAUUUAUACACACAGCACUGUGACGUUUCCAAUUACUACACUGACCUAUGUACCAUAUACAUGGGUCUAAAUAUAGUGUAUUAAAAGAAAAGAACCCUA
Molecule: long non-coding RNA, 1351 nt
Organism: Mytilus californianus (California mussel)
Lineage: Eukaryota; Metazoa; Mollusca; Bivalvia; Mytilida; Mytilidae
Exons: 2
Source: RefSeq, a predicted model, not a curated record